AUACGGAGGGGGUUAGCGUUGUUCGGAAUUACUGGGCGUAAAGCGCACGUAGGCGGAUUGGAAAGUUGGGGGUGAAAUCCCAGGGCUCAACCCUGGAACUGCCUCCAAAACUAACAGUCUAGAGUUCGAGAGAGGUGAGUGGAAUUCCAAGUGUAGAGGUGAAAUUCGUAGAUAUUUGGAGGAACACCAGUGGCGAAGGCGGCUCACUGGCUCGAUACUGACGCUGAGGUGCAAAAGCGUGGGGAGCAAACAGAAUUAGAAACCCGAGUAGUCC
RNAcentral lists this ribosomal RNA (274 nucleotides) under uncultured bacterium. RNAcentral describes it as "partial 16S ribosomal RNA". It matches the Rfam family "Bacterial small subunit ribosomal RNA", at positions 523 to 796 of the family's 1533-position model. The record is from RNAcentral.